RNAcentral lists this long non-coding RNA (741 nucleotides) under Canis lupus familiaris (dog). RNAcentral describes it as "lncRNA (ENSCAFG00030016551.1, ENSCAFG00040016734.1)". The record is from RNAcentral. Lineage: Eukaryota; Metazoa; Chordata; Mammalia; Carnivora; Canidae.
UCUUUUUUUUUCACCCUUCCUAGAAUCUGACAGGCCACAGAAAUAUCUGAUUUCCAAGAGAUGCUCGCAUUCUAUACUGAUGCCAUCUAGGAGUGUAAAUGCCCAAUAUCAUGCUGCCGAGUGGAGAAAGGGAGGGAGUAGGAUGUUGGGAGAAAGAUGAUUUCCUGCAGUCUUCUAAUUCAGAAGAUGGAGGUUAUCUUCCUACAGUAUUGUUUAUUUGUUUUCUUCUCAAAUGACUGAUUGAAGUUGAGUAUCAACAAUAUAGUGACAUUUUCUGGAAAGUAUGAAGACCACAACGACUCUUUGUUUUCAAAUAUUUUGUUCCAGAAAUUGUGCAAGUCAUGGCCAGCAAGGAGAAUUAUAUGAUGGUGUUCCUCCAAGAGUGAUAAAUUUUGACAGUCAGUUUAGCAGGAAGCACAGUUUUCAUUCCCAUCUCAUGAUCCAAGUACCAAGAAGUUCUCUUCAUAACAUGUAUAAUUUCCAAAAAUUUAAAGCUUGAUUUCCCUACAAAUAAAAAGUGAACAUGUAUCAAAGAUCUAAUUAAUCCACUAAUGAGGAAACCAGUAACUUGGUAAGGCAGAUCCAAAGUAAAUAUGAGAAAACACAAGUAUUUAUUACAGCAGAGGACAGGAUGCUUCAUUUAGAUUGCUAAUUUAGUAUAAAACUGAUUAGUUUCCUAGAGGGCAUUAAAACUAUAAUUUUGCUGAUGUCAUUUGAAUCUCUACCAAAUAAAAUUUAUUU